RNAcentral lists this ribosomal RNA (429 nucleotides) under Gemmatimonadota bacterium. Its description in RNAcentral is "Gemmatimonadetes bacterium partial 16S ribosomal RNA". It matches the Rfam family "Bacterial small subunit ribosomal RNA", at positions 355 to 776 of the family's 1533-position model. The record is from RNAcentral. Lineage: Bacteria; Pseudomonadati; Gemmatimonadota.
UAGGGAAUCUUCGGCAAUGGACGAAAGUCUGACCGAGCAACGCCGCGUGAGUGAAGAAGGUCUUCGGAUCGUAAAACUCUGUUGUUAGAGAAGAACAAGGACGUUAGUAACUGAACGUCCCCUGACGGUAUCUAACCAGAAAGCCACGGCUAACUACGUGCCAGCAGCCGCGGUAAUACGUAGGUGGCAAGCGUUGUCCGGAUUUAUUGGGCGUAAAGCGAGCGCAGGCGGUUUCUUAAGUCUGAUGUGAAAGCCCCCGGCUCAACCGGGGAGGGUCAUUUGAAACUGGGAGACUUGAGUGCAGAAGAGGAGAGUGGAAUUCCAUGUGUAGCGGUGAAAUGCGUAGUUAUAUGGAGGAACACCAGUGGCGAAGGCGGCUCUCUGGUCUGUAACUGACGCUGAGGCUCGAAAGCGUGGGUAGCAAACAGG